GGGUUCGAACGGGAUCUACGUAUUGCUUAGUUUUUUUUUUCCUUUUUUCUUCUUUUUGUCAUUCUCCAUGUGUUUAUAACCUAAGUUUUUAGCAAAGACAUGUUACACUCAAAUUUAUUUGCACCAACACAUGUUAACCAUGCAAUGCAAAACCCUUUCCUUUCCCUUCUUUCCUUUUUUUUUUUUUAAUUUUUCUGCGCACAAAGGAUGAAAGAAGACGUCUCUUUGUCCUUCAAUUCUCUCUUCCUUUUUUCUUUUUGUUUUUGUUUCAUGAUGGAUUUCCUUCAAUUUAUUUAGCCUUGUUUGGGAGAGAUUGAAGCUGGAAAUAAUCGUUACCGUGGCAGCCAUGGAUUCCGACGAGUUCGCACUGUUUUGGCAAUCCCAGGUGUUAAGGUCAUACGUCCAGACCAUGGUCAGAUCUCUACAUAAAUCUCUCAGCUCUAUGCAAAUUAGAUAAUAUGCUUUUUGAGAUAUUGGAUAGCUUUGAUAAUGUAGAGUCCUUGUAUGUUGACCACUGAAUCCUAGCCCCCAGAUGCUGAUGGGUUUUCAUUACUGUUUCUAAAUCAAAGAAUGCCUUGGCUAAGACAAAGACAAAUGAAGGUGGAAAAAAUGAGAAAGUUAAAGAUGAUUUAAUACCAAGCAGAAACUUUUAUAUCUAGAAAGAAGCUUUCAAGGUUAUGGACGAGGAAGUCAAGCUUCAAGAGCACUUAAAUUGCUCUUUGCAGUGAAACCACAAUAAUUGUUAUGAUACAGGUAAUCAUCCAGAUUUGGAAAAAAAAAAAAUUAUGCAAUAAUUAUUAAGUUUAUUGGGAACUUUAUUAGAUGAACUGCAAUAUUUGUGUUCUACUUUGGGUCUUCUAUGCUUUGUUUUGGAUUUUCUUUUGGUAUUGCAUUGUAGGAGGAACUCAAAUACGAUUCCAAGUCUAGCUCAAAAGCAAAAACAGUUCCUGCUUCUAAAAUUGGACACAGCAAAUCUAAUUGGAAUGCAUUUGGUUAUAAUUACCCUUC
Molecule: long non-coding RNA, 1008 nt
Organism: Jatropha curcas
Lineage: Eukaryota; Viridiplantae; Streptophyta; Magnoliopsida; Malpighiales; Euphorbiaceae
Source: RefSeq, a predicted model, not a curated record